Molecule: transfer RNA, 75 nt
Filed under: Desulfotomaculum sp.
Lineage: Bacteria; Bacillati; Bacillota; Clostridia; Eubacteriales; Desulfotomaculaceae
Also listed under: 2 other names
Description: tRNA-Met
Rfam family: tRNA
About the family: Transfer RNA (tRNA) molecules are approximately 80 nucleotides in length. Their secondary structure includes four short double-helical elements and three loops (D, anti-codon, and T loops). Further hydrogen bonds mediate the characteristic L-shaped molecular structure. tRNAs have two regions of fundamental functional importance: the anti-codon, which is responsible for specific mRNA codon recognition, and the 3' end, to which the tRNAs corresponding amino acid is attached (by aminoacyl-tRNA synthetases). tRNAs cope with the degeneracy of the genetic code in two manners: having more than one tRNA (with a specific anti-codon) for a particular amino acid; and 'wobble' base-pairing, i.e. permitting non-standard base-pairing at the 3rd anti-codon position.
Source: RNAcentral
GGGCCCAUAGCUCAACGGUAGAGCAGCGGACUCAUAAUCCGUUGGUUCCAGGUUCGAAUCCUGGUGGGCCCACCA